GACGAACGCUGGCGGCGUGCCUAAUACAUGCAAGUCGAACGCUGAAGGAGGAGCUUUCUUCCCUGGACGAGUUGCGAACGGGUGAGUAACGCGUAGGUAACCUGCCCGGUAGCGGGGGAUAACUAUUGGAAACGCUAGCUAAUACCGCAUAAGAGUAGAUGAUGCAUGACAUUUGCUUAAAAGGUGCAAUUGCACCGCUACCAGUCGGUGCUUCGUUGCAUUAGUUAGUUGGUGGGGUAAGGGCGAACCAAGACGACGACCAUUAGUCGACUGGGUAGGGGGUCGGCCCCCCUGGGACUGGGACACGGCCCAAACUCCUACGGGGAGGAGCAGGAAGGGAACUUCGGGCAUUGGCGGAAAUCUUACCGGAGAACGCCGGGGUGGUGAAUGAGGUUUUCGGAUCCUAAAACUCUGUUUUAAGGGGAGAAAGAGUGGUGGAGUGAAAAGUUCACACUGUGACGGUAUCUUACCAGAAAGCGACGGCUAACUACGUG
This 494-nucleotide ribosomal RNA is filed under the name uncultured bacterium. Its description in RNAcentral is "partial 16S ribosomal RNA". It matches the Rfam family "Bacterial small subunit ribosomal RNA", at positions 28 to 507 of the family's 1533-position model. The record is from RNAcentral.